GAAAUGCGAUAAGUAAUGUGAAUUGCAGAAUUCAGUGAAUCAUCGAAUCUUUGAACGCACCUUGCGCUCCUUGGUAUUCCGAGGAGCAUGCCUGUUUGAGUGUCAUUUAAUUCUCAACCCCUCCAGCUUUUUUCUUUGGGCUGGGUUUGGUGGCUUGGAUGUGGGGGAUCAUAGUUGCGGGCCUCUUCAGAGGUCGGCUCCCCUGAAAUGCAUUAGCGGAACCGUUUGCGGGAACUGUCACUGGUGUGAUAACUAUCUACGCCAAAGACAACUGCUCUCUGGUAGUUCUGCUUCCAAUUGUCCUUCACCUUGGACAACGAUAUCUGAAUGCUUGACCUCAAAUCAGGUAGGACUACCCGCUGAACUUAA
RNAcentral lists this unclassified non-coding RNA (369 nucleotides) under uncultured Tulostoma. Its description in RNAcentral is "sequence contains ITS1". The stretch from base 1 to 105 matches the Rfam family "5.8S ribosomal RNA", at positions 50 to 154 of the family's 154-position model. The record is from RNAcentral. Lineage: Eukaryota; Fungi; Basidiomycota; Agaricomycetes; Agaricales; Agaricaceae.